Molecule: ribosomal RNA, 460 nt
Filed under: uncultured bacterium
Lineage: Bacteria
Description: partial 16S ribosomal RNA
Rfam family: Bacterial small subunit ribosomal RNA
Source: RNAcentral
CCUACGGGAGGCAGCAGUGAGGAAUAUUGGUCAAUGGGCGGAAGCCUGAACCAGCCAAGUAGCGUGCAGGAUGACGGCCCUACGGGUUGUAAACUGCUUUUAUACGGGAAUAACGCGCCUUACGUGUAGGGCUUUGCAUGUACCGUAUGAAUAAGGACCGGCUAAUUCCGUGCCACCAGCCGCGGUAAUACGGAAGGGCCGGGCGUUUUCCGGUUUUUUUGGGUUUAAGGGGGGCGUAGGCCGCAUGUCAAGCGUGCGGUGAAAUGUCCGGGCUCAACCCGGGACUUGCAGCGCGGACUGGCGUGCUGGAGUCCGCGGAAAGCAGGCGGAAUUCGUGGUGUAGCGGUGAAAUGCUUAGAUAUGACGAAGAACCCCGAUUGCGAAGGCAGCUUGCUGCAGCGGAACUGACGCUGAUGCACGAAAGCGCGGGUAUCGAACAGGAUUAGAUACCCUAGUAGUC